This 369-nucleotide ribosomal RNA is filed under the name uncultured bacterium. RNAcentral describes it as "bacterial SSU rRNA". It matches the Rfam family "Bacterial small subunit ribosomal RNA", at positions 86 to 456 of the family's 1533-position model. The record is from RNAcentral.
UGGCGGCGACCGGCGCAAGGGUGCGUAACGCGUGAGCAAUCUGCCCGUAUCAGGGGGAUAAGCGAUGGAAACGUCGUCUAAUACCGCAUAACACAUUGGAUGGCAUCUCCGAUGUUUGAAAGCUUCGGUGGAUACGGAUGAGCUCGCGAGACAUUAGUUAGUUGGCGGGGUAACGGCCCACCAAGACCGCGAUGUCUAGGGGAACUGAGAGGUUGGUCCCCCACACUGGAACUGAGACACGGUCCAGACUCCUACGGGAGGCAGCAGUGAGGAAUAUUGGACAAUGGCCGGAAGGCUGAUCCAGCCAUGCCGCGUGAAGGAUAAGGUCCUAUGGAUUGUAAACUUCUUUUGAGUGGGAGCAAUAAGGGU